This 1046-nucleotide ribosomal RNA is filed under the name Fusarium sp. P. del f. RNAcentral's name for it is "eukaryotic LSU rRNA". The stretch from base 467 to 1046 matches the Rfam family "Eukaryotic large subunit ribosomal RNA", at positions 1 to 592 of the family's 3401-position model. Lineage: Eukaryota; Fungi; Ascomycota; Sordariomycetes; Hypocreales; Nectriaceae. The record is from RNAcentral.
UGAUCAUUACCGAGUUUACAACUCCCAAACCCCUGUGAACAUACCACUUGUUGCCUCGGCGGAUCAGCCCGCUCCCGGUAAACCGGGACGGCCCGCCAGAGGACCCCUAAACUCUGUUUCUAUAUGUAACUUGUGAGUAAAACCAUAAAUAAAUCAAAACUUUCAGCAACGGAUCUCUAGGUUCUGGCAUCGAUGAAGAACGCAGCAAAAUGCGAUAAGUAAUGUGAAUUGCAGAAUUCAGUGAAUCAUCGAAUCUUUGAACGCACAUUGCGCCCGCCAGUAUUCUGGCGGGCAUGCCUGUUCGAGCGUCAUUUCAACCCUCAAGCACAGCUUGGUGUUGGGACUCGCGUUAAUUCGCGUUCCUCAAAUUGAUUGGCGGUCACGUCGAGCUUCCAUAGCGUAGUAGUAAAACCCUCGUUACUGGUAAUCGUCGCGGCCACGCCGUUAAACCCCAACUUCUGAAUGUUGACCUCGGAUCAGGUAGGAAUACCCGCUGAACUUAAGCAUAUCAAUAAGCGGAGGAAAAGAAACCAACAGGGAUUGCCCUAGUAACGGCGAGUGAAGCGGCAACAGCUCAAAUUUGAAAUCUGGCUCUCGGGCCCGAGUUGUAAUUUGUAGAGGAUACUUUUGAUGCGGUGCCUUCCGAGUUCCCUGGAACGGGACGCCAUAGAGGGUGAGAGCCCCGUCUGGUUGGAUGCCAAAUCUCUGUAAAGUUCCUUCAACGAGUCGAGUAGUUUGGGAAUGCUGCUCUAAAUGGGAGGUAUAUGUCUUCUAAAGCUAAAUACCGGCCAGAGACCGAUAGCGCACAAGUAGAGUGAUCGAAAGAUGAAAAGCACUUUGAAAAGAGAGUUAAAAAGUACGUGAAAUUGUUGAAAGGGAAGCGUUUAUGACCAGACUUGGGCUUGGUUAAUCAUCUGGGGUUCUCCCCAGUGCACUUUUCCAGUCCAGGCCAGCAUCAGUUUUCCCCGGGGGAGAAAGGCGGCGGGAAUGUGGCUCUCUUCGGGGAGUGUUAUAGCCCACCGUGUAAUACCCUGGGGGGGACUGAG